Bactrocera dorsalis (oriental fruit fly) is the source of this 6023-nucleotide long non-coding RNA. RefSeq lists it as uncharacterized. The record is from RefSeq and is a predicted model, not a curated record. The transcript is spliced from 2 exons. Lineage: Eukaryota; Metazoa; Arthropoda; Insecta; Diptera; Tephritidae.
GUGUAUCUAUUUUUGUUGGUUCCACAAUCCACAACUCUUCAGUCCCACCUCCUCCAUUCACUUUAGCCCAUACAAUCGCCUCAGAUUUUGGUGGAAUACUCUGAUUAUCAUCAACAAUCACCCUCUUACUUUCAACGUUGGUCACAUAUCCGGUGUUUAUAGGCAUCUCCAUAUUCUGGCAAAACAGCAUUUGCUUGUUUAAAUCCAAAGUAAGCCCGUGAUCAAUCAUGAAAUCUACUCCCAUUAUAAUUUCAUCCGUGAUUUCUGCUACGAUGAAGGUGUGAUUAACUUCCAGGGUACCAAUCAUCACUUCGCAAAACACUUUUCCCGCGACAGCUGCUUCCUCUCCGGUGGCCGUUCGAAGCUUGCAACCGAUUAAUGGUUCAACCGUUCCUCUUACCACAUCCGGUCGGAUAAUUGAAUGUGUGGCACCAGUAUCCAAAGUAAGCGUUGACAGUCGUCCAUUUACGAUACCGUUGAUAGUAAGAUUGUUGUCAUGGCGACCUAUUUGUGAUAUCGAGAUGGUGGGGCAAAUAGUUGUGGGAACCAGCUCACGCCCCUUUGAACUGUUCCGUUUUAGUUUAACGACUUGUGAGAUGUGGAUGCUCCGUCAUCGUUAUCUGUUGGUUGUUUCCGUUUUGAUGGGUUUACUUUUAUAUUGCAAUUUCGGCAAAGUGACCCGUUUUUCCACAGUUGAAACAUCUUCCUGUUGUAUUUACUCGCGGUGCAGCAAUUGUCUUCAGAGUCUUCAAUAUUUCUUCCAUCAGCGCCGGUUGUUCCAUUUCAACCCUUUGUCCUUUGUGUGCUGGUUUACUUAGUAGGGAAGCUGUUUCCUGUGUGAGGGCGUGCGAAACCGUUUCAGCAAACGUUCUUUUUGGCAAUGCAUAUGUGGCGCGUUUGGUGUCCACAUCACGAAUUCCAUUUAUGAAACAUUGAAUUUUUACCCUCUCAAUGUAAUCCACAGGUGCAUCUGCAUUUGCCAAAUGAGCCAGUCGUUCUAUUUCAGUUGCGAACUCUUGCAAUGACUCGUUCAUCUUCUGACCCCUAUUUUGCAGUUCGAUCUGGUAUAUUUGUUUCCGGUGCUCACUUCCAUAUCGUCUUUCUAUCGCACUCAUCAAUGCCUCAUAUUUGUCCCGUUCACAAUCUGGAAUAGUCUGAAGGAUUUCUGCCGCAGGUCCUUUCAAUGAUACAAACAAAGACGCCACUUUGUCCGCUGCAUUCCAGUUAUUGGCCGUUGCUGUCUUUUCAAACUGAAGUUUGAAAAUUUGAAAUGGAAUAGUUCCAUUGAAUGUGGGUGCCUUCAAUCUUUGAUUAUUUGUUGAUGGUGCAGGGCCAUGUAGUUGCAGUUCUCGCACACGGUUACUUAAUUGAAGAACUUCUGAUUUUAAAUUUUCUUCGUCAUUUUUUAAAGUGCUUAAUUCGUCUUCAAAUUUUGAAAAUUUCUCUUGCACUUGUGUAUUAUUUUCUGUAAUCUGUUGUACCAAACGCUUUUCUAACUGCGUAUUAUUUUCAGUCAUUUGUUGUGUAAGGCAAGACUUUAACUGUGAUGUAUUUUCUGCUAUUUGCUGUGCCAGACGAUUUUCUGUUUGCACUGCAUUUUCUGCAUUUUCAGCUAUUUGUUGUGCCAGACGAUUUCCUGUUUGCACUGCAUUUUCUGUAUUUUCAGCUAUUUUCUGUAUAGCCACUAACAGCAUGUUCAUGUCUACACUUGAUGAUGUUCGUUGUUGCUCUACUUUUUCUUUUACCUUUGUAGAAGUUUCUGGCCCAUCAAAUUCGAACUCGUCCACAUUAAUUCCAUCCGCUUCCAUUGCUUCACGUAAUCGUGCCUGCAGAUCCGCCUUUUGCCCGCUUACUGGCAAAUUACGCUCCUCCAGUUCCUUUUUUAAAUGUUGAAUUCUCAAUUCUCCGAAUUUAAUCAUCUUGAAUUUGGAUUAUUUGACAAUCCCACUUCUGACACCAAUUAUUACGAAUUUACUCCUUGCUAGUUUUACUUUACUAGGUUCGUAUCUCUGGAUUGACAAAUAAAACCAACUCGUCUACACUAUAGCAGUUUACUCUUAACACUGGUUAAUUACGUUGGCGCUGCCACGGCUUAUAUAACCGCGCAUUCCUCGCUGAUGCCGACGUGUCCUUCUAGAAUAUUGCGUCUGGAAAUUAUAAGAACAUAAAUGCAGCUAUUGUUUAGACAAGCAGACAGCCGCGGCGCCAGACUCAGCAAUUGCUUAAGCAGACAAGCAGACAGCUGCGGAGCCAGACGCAGUAAUUGUUUAAGUAUACAAGCAGACAGCCGCGGCGCAAUAUGUCUAUUAUUUCGACAAGCAGACAGCCGCGGAGCCAGAUGUCUACAACAAGACAAAUGCUAUUCCAUAUACCUACAACUAUUGUUCAUAAUACGGGAUGCAUAUAGCAAUACAAAUACAACUUAAUACUACUUUUGUAACAAUAUUUUACAAAAGAACCAAAAAACUAAAAUAAACCUGGGCAACCCGCCAGCCAAAGGGAUAACUCUCCUCUCCCCAGUAGUGAAGACACUUGAGGCCUUGCUACUCCCGAUCUUCACUCAGUGCACAGUACCACCACAGCACUUAGCGCCGUAAACGCCCAGAUAAUUCAUGACCUUAACCAUAAACUACUCUGUGAGAGAACAAUCUUCGUAUCGUUGGACUUGUCAAAGGCCUUUGACACAGUCAGUCACACAACGGUACUGCCGAAGAGGUGGACCAUGAACUAGCUGAGUGGUCGUCAAUCAUCGGUACUAAUUCGAGGAAAAAACUCUAAACUGAGAAGAAUUAAACAUGGGGUUCCGCAGGGUUGUGUCCUCUCCCCACUACUGUUUAAUCAAGCGGUCUUUUCUCAAUUACGUCGAAGAUAUUGAACAAUACGCCGACCGGACUUCGGACGCAACUAACUUCCGACAAGCACUGACCGCUACUUAUCCAAAAUAGAACUCGAAAUUUCCAAUAUAUGUCCUGCGUGCAAUCAGUCACACAUAUGACACCGACAUUGGGCCAAGAACACUGCCUUGUGGUACGCCCGCUUAAAUAGUUUGAGCUUCAGAUGUGGUGGUGUUACAUCGAACUAUAAAACUUCGAUCAUAAAGGUAGGACAAUUCGUGGGUGUAACGUUUUUAUUUUAUACAUAAGACCAUUUAACCAUACUCGAUCAAAAGCCUGCGCGACAUCAAGAAAUAUUGCAGAGCAAUAUUCCCGUUUUUCAGAUGCGCUCCUAUGUACUUGCUCGAUCAUUCCAUGCUUUUCCCUGAAGCCAAAUUGAUGAGAUGGUAUUAUGUUGUGGGUUUUAAGAUGUGGCUUAAUGCGGAGCAUAAGAAGUCUUUCAAAUAAUUUCGACAUGCACGAUUGCAAGCUGAUGGGUCUAUAGGAGGAUGGCUGAGUUUUUUCUUUUCCAGGAAUAGGUUAGUGAUGAUACCAAACUGACUUUGAAUUUUUCCAUUUUUGAGGAAAGUGAGCUUGUUUUGUGAUUUCAUUGAAAAAUAUACAGAUACAGAUUAUAGCACAGUUUGGUAGCUCAAUAAUAAUUUUUGGAGUAAUUAAGUCGUACCCACGAGCUUUCCUUGGUUACACUUUCUUCAUAAUUAUUUUUGAUAUCUCUUCAGGUACGAAUUUCGCUGGCUUAGAUUCUACCAAAUGUGUUACGGUUGACAGUGCAAAGUAGUUAGUUUCUGGGUUUGGCUGGAAGACAUUUUUUAGAUGAGCAGCAACCUUCGUAGCUGAUUUUUCUGCAUCACUCCGAGCCCAUUUGUCAUUAUUGUCACGUAUUGGCAUUUUACACUCUAUUGGCUCACUUAGAGUUUUAUGUGCUUUCCACAACGGGUACUUUUCACUAGUCGGUGAAAGUUUUUGAAUAUACUGGUACUGCGCACGCUGUUCUUCGCUUUUGAGCAAGUUAAUUUUUACAUUAAGUAAAAAUUAGUCAAAAGAAUAUACAUAUUUCAAGCUGCAUCGAAAUGUAUACUCUUUAUUUAUACUCUUAAGACUCUUAUUACAUCGUUCUUACUUCUAUUUAUACUAACUAGUAUGUUUACUUAUUACUAGUUGAUAGUUUCUUUAGAUACAGAUUCUAUUAUUUGUACAAACCUAUACAUAUACAAGUAUAUUGUUUGCUUAGAUAUAUUUGUUUUGUUUUAAGAUAAGGUUGUUGUGGUAUUCAAAAUCAAUAUUGUUUUGAUACUUGUUUGUUUAGGAUUGUUUGUUGUAGUGAUAGUGCAUUUCAACUGUUUCAACUCAAGGUUGUUUGCAUUCUGUUUACUGAAACCAAAGGUUGUUUUGAUGUUUGUUACUAUUAUAAGGAAUACGUUCCUUAACUAGCGCUCUCGUCAGUGCGUGUGUGGCCCGUGACAGUUGUUUUGAGGCUGGUGAUCUAUAAACCUGCCACUCCCAUUGUAGGCAUCGUUUUGUAAUAUGAGUAUUUCAGUUUCUCUAUAAGUUAAUUUAAGCUUUUUGUUUUCCAUAUAACCUUUUUGAGAUGAAAUUUUGUCGGCUGUUAUGAUGGUUGAUUCGAAUGCUGCGAUGGUGUUUUUAAUAUCAGCCACUGUAUCUAAAUUUGGUUCGAGUUCAAUGUGUGUGCGGAUGUAUUUUUUAUACUUUAACUAGUUUGUAGCUUUGGCGUAAGCAUGUAGGGUAACUCUUUAUAGUGUAGCUGAUGUCGCAAAGUGAAGAAAAGUGGUGAGUGGUCUAAUGAGACGUCUGCUUGUUUCUGCACUAAUAAAGCUGCGAGGAAUUUUCCAAGUUACUACGAAGUCAAUUAAAUCUGGCAGCUUUUUGGGUUUGCCGGCCAAUAUGUAGGCAUUUCAGGAGACACGUAAUCAAGUUUGUUUCUUUUACAUAUAACGGCGUUAUAUAAUUGCUAGUCCUUAGGGUUACAUUACCAGCACCCCCAGUGUGGCAAGAACAAGUGCAGCAAGAAAACACUCUGAACACUAGAUUGUGCCAUUCUGAGGCAACCUUUUUUUUUCAACUGAAAAACAGGCUCAACACUUUCGAAAAUGUGUAAAAAAAAAUCACUCAAAAGAUGAGCUCCUAAUAUUAAGAGUGGCUAUUUCAAAUUUUCUGUUUUCCAUAUAAAUAUAUAAAAAAUAUCAUUUUUUUUUGUGGUGGUUAUUGUGCGGAGGUUUUAUAUGUGCCCCGAUGGCUGCCAGUAGGGAUGGUAAACUCGAUCCCGAUUCUACUCGAGAAUCGAGUUUUCUCGAAAAAUAAUCGAUUUUUCGAAUGUCAAGAACCGAUUCUUAAUCGACUUCGACUAUUGGAGAUCGAUUCUGAAAAAUCGAUUAUUAUACGAGAAAACUCGAUUUUCGAGUAGAAUCGGAAUCGAUUUUACCAUCCCUACUGGCUGCUAUCGGGGCACAUAUAAAACCUCCGCACAAUAACCACCACAAAAAAAAUGAUUUUUUUUUCAUGUAAUUUAUAUGGAAAACAGAAAAUUUGAAAUAGGCACCUCUUAAUAUUAAUAUUAAGAACUCAUCUUUUGAGUGACUUUUUAUACUCUCGCAACAAAGUUGCUAAAGAGAGUAUUAUAGUUUUGUUCACAUAACGGUUGUUUGUAAGUCCUAAAACUAAAAGAGUCAGAUAUAGGGUUAUGUAUACCAAAGUGAUCAGGGUGACGAGUAGAGUUGAAAUCCGGAUGUCUGUCUGUCCGUCCGUCCGUCCGUCCGUCCGUCCGUGCAAGCUGUAACUUGAGUAAAAAUUGAGAUAUCAUGAUGAAACUUGGUACACGUAUUUCUUGGCUCCAUAAGAAGGUUAAGUUCGAAGAUGGGCAAAAUCGGCCCACUGCCACGCCCACAAAAUGGCGGAAACCAAAAACCUAUAAAGUGUCAUAACUAAGCCAUAAAUAAAGAUAUUAAAGUGAAAUUUGGCACAAAGGAUCACAUUAGGGAGGAGCAUAUUUGGAAGUAAUUUUUUUGGAAAAGUGGGCGUGGCCCCGCCCCCUAUUAAGUUUUUUGUACAUAUCUCGGAAACUACUAUAGCUACGUCAACCAAACUGUAUAGAGUCGUUUCCUUCCGGCAUUU